AGUCCUGUGGCACAAUGGGUCAAUGCCUCUGGCUGCUAACCAGAAGGUUGGUGGUUUGAGCCCACCCGGGGAUUG
RNAcentral lists this transfer RNA (75 nucleotides) under Podarcis lilfordi (Lilford's wall lizard). Its description in RNAcentral is "tRNA.Ser". It matches the Rfam family "tRNA". Rfam says of the family: Transfer RNA (tRNA) molecules are approximately 80 nucleotides in length. Lineage: Eukaryota; Metazoa; Chordata; Lepidosauria; Squamata; Lacertidae. The record is from RNAcentral.